AUGCAGCGACGCCGCGUGAGGGAUGACGGCCUUCGGGUUGUAAACCUCUUUCAGUAGGGAAGAAGCGUAAGUGACGGUACCUGCAGAAGAAGCGCCGGCUAACUACGUGCCAGCAGCCGCGGUAAUACGUAGGGCGCAAGCGUUAUCCGGAAUUAUUGGGCGUAAAGAGCUCGUAGGCGGUUUGUCGCGUCUGCUGUGAAAGACCGGGGCUCAACUCCGGUUCUGCAGUGGGUACGGGCAGACUAGAGUGCAGUAGGGGAGACUGGAAUUCCUGGUGUAGCGGUGAAAUGCGCAGAUAUCAGGAGGAACACCGAUGGCGAAGGCAGGUCUCUGGGCUGUAACUGACGCUGAGGAGCGAAAGCAUGGGGAGCGAACAGGAUUAGAUACCCUGGUAGUCCAUGCCGUAAACGUUGGGCACUAGGUGUGGGGGACAUUCCACGUUUUCCGCGCCGUAGCUAACGCAUUAAGUGCCCCGCCUGGGGAGUACGGCCGCAAGGCUAAAACUCAAAGGAAUUGACGGGGGCCCGCACAAGCGGCGGAGCAUGCGGAUUAAUUCGAUGCAACGCGAAGAACCUUACCAAGGCUUGACAUGAACCGGAAAGACCUGGAAACAGGUGCCCCGCUUGCGGUCGGUUUACAGGUGGUGCAUGGUUGUCGUCAGCUCGUGUCGUGAGAUGUUGGGUUAAGUCCCGCAACGAGCGCAACCCUCGUUCUAUGUUGCCAGCGGUUCGGCCGGGGACUCAUA
Molecule: ribosomal RNA, 745 nt
Filed under: Paenarthrobacter histidinolovorans
Lineage: Bacteria; Bacillati; Actinomycetota; Actinomycetes; Micrococcales; Micrococcaceae
Description: bacterial SSU rRNA
Rfam family: Bacterial small subunit ribosomal RNA
Source: RNAcentral